Molecule: ribosomal RNA, 467 nt
Filed under: uncultured Glomus
Lineage: Eukaryota; Fungi; Glomeromycota; Glomeromycetes; Glomerales; Glomeraceae
Description: SSU rRNA
Rfam family: Eukaryotic small subunit ribosomal RNA
Source: RNAcentral
AGCAGCCGCGGUAAUUCCAGCUCCAAUAGCGUAUAUUAAAGUUGUUGCAGUUAAAAAGCUCGUAGUUGAAUUUCGGGAUCAAUACGUCGGUCGUGCUUUCGGGUACGUACUGGCGUCAUUGGUUUCUCCUUUCUGACGAACCAUGAUGUCAUUAAUUUGGUGUUAUGGGGAGUUAGGACUGUUACUUUGAAAAAUUGAGUGUUUAAAGCAGGCAUUAGCUUGAAUACAUUAGCAUGGAAUAAUGAAAUAGGACGUUCGAUCCUAUUUUGUGGUUUCUAGGAUCAACGUAAUGAUUAAUAGGGAUAGUUGGGGCAUUAGUAUUCAAUUGUCAGAGGUGAAAUUCUUGGAUUUAUUGAAGACUAACUACUGCGAAAGCAUUUGCCAAGGAUGUCUUCAUUAAUACAAGAACGAAAGUUAGGGGAUCGAAGACGAUCAGAUACCGUCGUAGUCUUAACCAUAAACUAUAG